CCCUUAGAUGUUCUGGGCCGCACGCGCGCUACAAUGGCAGACUCAGCGAGUUACCUCUGUCGAAAGGCACAGGGAAUCUUUACAGUAUCUGCCGUGAUGGGGAUAGACCCUUGUAAUUUUUGGUCUUCAACGAGGAAUUCCUGGUAAACGCAAGUCAUUAACUUGCAUUGAUUACGUCCCUGCCCUUUGUACACACCGCCCGUCGCACCUACCGAUUGAAUGGUCCGGUGAAGUCCUCGGACCCAGUUGAAUCUCGAGUUGAACAGGGAAAGUUGACUAAAUCUUACCAUUUAGAGGAAGGUGAAGUCGUAACA
This 314-nucleotide ribosomal RNA is filed under the name uncultured eukaryote. RNAcentral describes it as "partial 18S ribosomal RNA". It matches the Rfam family "Eukaryotic small subunit ribosomal RNA", at positions 1470 to 1796 of the family's 1831-position model. The record is from RNAcentral.